UUUUAUAAAUAUUUUUAUUAAUAAAUUAUUUAUAUAUUUAAUAUUUUUUAUUAAAAUAUUUAUUUUUGUUGGGGGUGAUAAAAAAAUAAAUAUAACUUUUUUUAAAAAAUUAACAAGAAAUAGUUGAAUAAAUGAUCCAAUAUUAUU
RNAcentral lists this ribosomal RNA (147 nucleotides) under Lomaspilis marginata. Its description in RNAcentral is "partial large subunit ribosomal RNA". Lineage: Eukaryota; Metazoa; Arthropoda; Insecta; Lepidoptera; Geometridae. The record is from RNAcentral.